UACGUAGGUGACCAGCGUUGUCCGGAUUUACUGGGCGUAAAGCGCGCGUAGGCGGAUCACUAAGUCAGGGGUGAAAUCCCGAGGCUUAACCUCGGAACUGCCUUUGAUACUGGAGAUCUGGAGAUCGGGAGAGGUUGGUGGAAUUCCGAGUGUAGAGGUGAAAUUCGUAGAUAUUCGGAGGAACACCAGAAGCGAAGGCGGCCAACUGGCCCGAUACUGACGCUGAGGCGCGAAAGCGUGGGGAGCAAACAGG
This 253-nucleotide ribosomal RNA is filed under the name uncultured bacterium. RNAcentral describes it as "partial 16S ribosomal RNA". It matches the Rfam family "Bacterial small subunit ribosomal RNA", at positions 524 to 776 of the family's 1533-position model. The record is from RNAcentral.